CAUGAAGAAGGGCUGCAGCACUGGAGUAGAGAUGAAAAGGCAUUAGUCUAGCUGGGACUGACCCACUUGCAAGCACGCAUGUAAUCCUUCAGCUAUUGUUAUUUAGAGAGGAACUGGAACCACCCUUGCAAACAGAUGAGAAGGCAGGUCACCUUCCUGAAGGUACAGAGUGGAUAGAACACGUAAAGAGGAGAGAAGGAUGUCAGGAGUGAAUUGACAAAAAAGACUUUCUGCAUAUCCUGCUGCUCUGCCUAGGAGGUGAAGAGGAAUAAUCUUCUUGCAAACCACAGGAAGCAGGUGAUAGUUUUUUGCUACCAGAAAGAUCUGAAAACUUUGUGAAAAUGGUACUGUUUAAUACUUUUCUGUGACAAAGGUUAGCUUCUACGUGUGUGUGUUGGUUGAAUAAAACAUUUUCCUAUUAAAGUGAUACGCUUCAGAAGGAUUUUGUAACUAUGAGAAUGUAAGAAAUGUGCAUUUUGCCACUGAAUUCAUUAGCAACACAUGUCACAGUUCUAUCUGGGUGCUGCAUAUCACAAAAUACAGAGAUGCACACAUAAUAUGUUCGAAGGCUGUUUAUUUCUAGGAUGCAGACAUUUAAAAGAGAAGUAAAGGGCAUAUUAUUAUGCAGACUUUCAAGCAUAUUAAUCUGUUUGGAGAAAUAUG
Molecule: long non-coding RNA, 663 nt
Organism: Meleagris gallopavo (turkey)
Lineage: Eukaryota; Metazoa; Chordata; Aves; Galliformes; Phasianidae
Source: RefSeq, a predicted model, not a curated record